UACGUAGGGUGCGAGCGUUGUCCGGAAUUAUUGGGCGUAAAGAGCUCGUAGGCGGCUUGUCGCGUCGGAUGUGAAAGCCCGGGGCUUAACUCCGGGUCUGCAUUCGAUACGGGCAGGCUAGAGUUCGGUAGGGGAGAUCGGAAUUCCUGGUGUAGCGGUGAAAUGCGCAGAUAUCAGGAGGAACACCGGUGGCGAAGGCGGGUCUCUGGGCCGAUACUGACGCUGAGGAGCGAAAGCAUGGGUAGCGAACAGG
This 253-nucleotide ribosomal RNA is filed under the name uncultured bacterium. RNAcentral's name for it is "partial 16S ribosomal RNA". It matches the Rfam family "Bacterial small subunit ribosomal RNA", at positions 524 to 776 of the family's 1533-position model. The record is from RNAcentral.